CUUAUAGUGCUAGAGGCUGAAUUCCUGUAAUUUUAUCCACCAGACAAACAUGGCGUGAGCAGCAGCAGUGCAAGCUUCCUGUCAUUGCCAGUCAAUGUGCCUCAAAUUUGUUCUGGAUGGACAACCUUAAGGUAGUCCAUGGCCAUUCAAUCAUCUGCUUUUCUGUUGAGUCUUUCAAGAAU
This is an unclassified non-coding RNA of Chelonoidis abingdonii (Abingdon island giant tortoise), 182 nucleotides long. The record is from Ensembl. NCBI's taxonomy places the organism in Eukaryota, Metazoa, Chordata, Testudines, Testudinidae.